UACGGGGGGGGCAAGCGUUGUUCGGAAUUACUGGGCGUAAAGGGCUCGUAGGCGGCCAACUAAGUCGGAUGUGAAAUCCCCAGGCUUAACCUGGGAACUGCAUCCGAUACUGGAUGGCUUGAAUCCGGGAGAGGGAUGCAGAAUUCCAGGUGUAGCGGUGAAAUGCGUAGAUAUCGUGAGGAACACCAGAGGCGAAGGCGGCUACCUGGACAAUUGCUGACGCUCAGGCACGAAAGCGUGGGGAGCAAAAGGG
Molecule: ribosomal RNA, 253 nt
Filed under: uncultured bacterium
Lineage: Bacteria
Description: partial 16S ribosomal RNA
Rfam family: Bacterial small subunit ribosomal RNA
Source: RNAcentral